RNAcentral lists this ribosomal RNA (253 nucleotides) under uncultured bacterium. RNAcentral describes it as "partial 16S ribosomal RNA". It matches the Rfam family "Bacterial small subunit ribosomal RNA", at positions 524 to 776 of the family's 1533-position model. The record is from RNAcentral.
UACGUAGGGGGCUAGCGUUGUCCGGAUUCACUGGGUUUAAAGGGUGCGUAGGUGGGCUGGUAAGUCAGUGGUGAAAUCUCCAGGCUUAACUUGGAAACUGCCAUUGAUACUAUCAGUCUUGAAUACCGUGGAGGUCAGCGGAAUAUGUCAUGUAGCGGUGAAAUGCUUAGAUAUGACAUAGAACACCAAUUGCGAAGGCAGCUGGCUACACGAAUAUUGACACUGAUGCACGAAAGCGUGGGGAUCAAACAGG